This 401-nucleotide ribosomal RNA is filed under the name uncultured bacterium. RNAcentral describes it as "bacterial SSU rRNA". It matches the Rfam family "Bacterial small subunit ribosomal RNA", at positions 32 to 414 of the family's 1533-position model. The record is from RNAcentral.
AAUCAACGCUGGCGGCGUGCCUCAGACAUGCAAGUCGAACGCGAAAGUCCCCUUCGGGGGACAAGUAGAGUGGCGCACGGGUGAGUAACACGUAGGUAAUCUACCUUCGGAUGGGGAAUAACAACCGGAAACGGUUGCUAAUACCGCAUAAUGCAGCGGCACCUAAUGGUGACAGUUGUUAAAGCGGGGGAUCGAAAGACCUCGCGUCUGAAGAGGAGCCUGCGGCGGAUUAGCUAGNGGUAAGGUAAUGGCUUACCAAGGCGACGAUCCGUAGCCGGCCUGAGAGGGCGGUCGGCCACACUGACACUGACAUACGGGUCAGACUCCUACGGGAGGCAGCAGUCGGGAAUUUGGGCAAUGGGCGAAAGCCUGACGCAGCGACGCCGCGUGAGGGAUGACGG